GUGGUAUAUUGGUUAGUACACCCAUCUAGAAAACGGGCGACGCAGGUUCAAAUCCUGCC
RNAcentral lists this transfer RNA (59 nucleotides) under Oryctes borbonicus. It matches the Rfam family "tRNA", at positions 7 to 64 of the family's 71-position model. Rfam says of the family: Transfer RNA (tRNA) molecules are approximately 80 nucleotides in length. Their secondary structure includes four short double-helical elements and three loops (D, anti-codon, and T loops). Lineage: Eukaryota; Metazoa; Arthropoda; Insecta; Coleoptera; Scarabaeidae. The record is from Rfam by way of RNAcentral.